CGGAUAGUAGUUCAGUUGGAAGAGCGCCCGCUGCGGUAUCAGUAGCAGAGGGAAACACACAGGUUCGAUUCCUGUCUAUCCGA
Molecule: transfer RNA, 83 nt
Filed under: Bacteriophage sp.
Description: tRNA-OTHER
Rfam family: tRNA
About the family: Transfer RNA (tRNA) molecules are approximately 80 nucleotides in length. Their secondary structure includes four short double-helical elements and three loops (D, anti-codon, and T loops). Further hydrogen bonds mediate the characteristic L-shaped molecular structure. tRNAs have two regions of fundamental functional importance: the anti-codon, which is responsible for specific mRNA codon recognition, and the 3' end, to which the tRNAs corresponding amino acid is attached (by aminoacyl-tRNA synthetases). tRNAs cope with the degeneracy of the genetic code in two manners: having more than one tRNA (with a specific anti-codon) for a particular amino acid; and 'wobble' base-pairing, i.e. permitting non-standard base-pairing at the 3rd anti-codon position.
Source: RNAcentral